This 5308-nucleotide long non-coding RNA is filed under the name Sus scrofa (pig). Its description in RNAcentral is "lncRNA (ENSSSCG00000056922.1)". The record is from RNAcentral. Lineage: Eukaryota; Metazoa; Chordata; Mammalia; Artiodactyla; Suidae.
UUUAUCUGUUUUUAUUCUCAUUUUAUUGAAAUCCUGAUUUUGGUAUUACUUAAACCCUCAAGUUCUUUUAGACUAGAGUAAAAACAAACAUUCUUGAUAUUUGAUGAUUAUUUUAAAACCAUCCAUGAAUGGCCAACUUUUAUAUGAAUAAAAUAUAAUCGACAUUAAAAUUAUACUGAGCAUGGUGUAAUCUUCGUCUAAUUAUUCAAAUUGCAUUUUGGAUCUUGUCAUAAUUCCAGGAUAUUAUCAUUAGUAUAAAUUAGUAUUAAGUAAAUAUCAGUUGGAGAGGUCCCGUUGUGGCCCAGGGGAAACAAAUCCAAUUAGGAAACAUGAGGUUGCCGGUUUGAUCCCUGGCCUUGCUCAGUGGGUUAAGGAUCCAGCGUUGCUGUGAGCUGUGGUGUAUGCCACAGAUGUAGCUCGGAUCCUGUGUUAGCUGUGGCAUAGGCCAGCAGCUGUAGCUCUGGUUAGAUUCCUAGUCUGGGAACUUCCAUAUGCCGUGGGUGCACCCCUAAAAAGCAAAAGCAAAAAAAAAAGGUGGAAUAUCAAUUAAUAUCAGCUACAAAAGUAUAGAAAUGCCAGUUAAAGAUUUCAAAUGACAAUGGUCAUGGUGUUGAUAUAAUGAAAAUGAAGACUAUUUGUCUACUGAUUCAUUCAGUAAAGAUGGAUGAGUGCUUCUCUGUACCAGGUGAAUGAAGUCCACGUUCGAAAGGGGGGGUUGUUUUGGUCUGAAUUGUGUCCCUCCUCAUUCAUACGCUGAAGUCCUAACCCCUAGUAGCUCAGAAUGUGAUCUCAUUUGGAGAGAGAGUCUUUAGCGAGGUAACUGAGUAAAAACAAGGUCAGCGGGUGGGCCCUAGCCCGAUAUGACUGUGUCCUUCUACGCAGGAAGCUUGGACACAGAGGCUCACAUAGAGGGAAGAUGCUAUGCAGAGACACAGGAGAAGACGGCCAUCUACAAGCCCGGGAGAGAGGCCUGUCACAGCUCCUUCCCACAAGGAACCGACCCUGCUGAUUGGUUAAUUUUGACCAAUUCGACCUUGCUGAACCUUAAUUUUGGACUUCCAGCCUCCAGCACUGGGAGAGAAUAGAUUUCUGUUGUUUAAGCCACUCUGUUUGUGGUACCUUGUCUCCAAAACCCUAGCAAACUGCUCCAGGAGGAACGGGCUUGGAGAGGGGAUGGAAGCUAAUGGGUUCAAGGAACAGAAAGGAUCCAGUUCAGCAGAGCCCAGUGGGUCAGGGAGACAGGGGAGUGCAGGAUUUGGGGGGGUGUGUGUAAACUAUUACCCCCCUGUGAAUGGAAGGCGUGGCUCUCUUCCUUGAGUUCAGAGCCAGGCCUGAGGAUGUGGAAUGGGAUAAGCUACUAGAAGAAAGAGACCUCAAAAUAGAGUGGCUUAAUUAGGGGAGAGGUUUGAGUUUCUUCCACCCAAUGGAGCAGAGGAGGGGAGCGGUCUAGAUCUGGAAGGACUGGAUGCUGGUAGGACGGAGCUGCCAUCUUCCACCGCGGCUUCCUUCCCCGGGCCUGAGGCAGCUACUCCCGGAGGUGCCACUCCUCGCCAGGUGACAGCAGGGGAAGACAGAACAGAGGCCUGGAGCUUCCAUAUAAAAAACCAUGAUCUGCAAGGUGCAUGCAUGGCUUCUGUUCUCAAACCCUUGGCAGGAGCACAGCCGCGUGACCACACCUGCUGCCAUGGAGUCUAAGACAGGGGGGGCUCUAGCGAUCACUUGAGGGGUCCAAUUGCCAAGAGUUCCCUGCCAACUCAGAGAACUGUGUUUCUAGAAAGAGAAAGAGAGACUAGCCUCUGGGGAACAAUCAGCAGCCUCUGUCGCAGCCCAACCUGUUAGCUGGAAGGCUGGACUCAUCUCUUGCUCUUCCUGCAAGGCUCCAGGAUGGCAGAGGUGGCAUUCGAAAUGGACUGUCUGUUGUCUGCUGUCAUCCCUCCAAUGAGUUCCCAAAAAGAGCUCUUCCAAUGAGAUGGCUGGCCAGAGCGUGGGUGCCGAGGCCUGUCUAGUUCACUUCCAGCACAUCCCUGAAAAAUCUCCCCACCUCGCCCACAAGAAGCCCUCUGUGGUCACGGUGCUUUCUGCCACUUGGUCCUUGUCUUGCAUCCUUCAUGCCCAGGAACUACCAGGGGCAGGUCGUUUAUGUGUCUGGCACGCGCUGCAGCUCUUCAGCAUUUGGAACUUUAUUGCAUGUCAGAAGCAUUUUUUAAUACUGCUGUUAAUAAUAGUACCUAGCAGGGGCGGACAGGCAAGAACGUGUCAGAAGGCAGUGGUUCCCAUUACUGUGCUUUCAUUGUUCCCUGGAACAUGACAGACGGGAUCAAUUCAGGCUUGCCUUUUCAGUUCUCCUACUCAGGUUACUGAUCCCAUUACUAGAAGUCCUGCUUUGCUGGCGUCCGUAGAAACAUGCCACAAAUACAGUGUGUGGGGUGUUCUCAUGCUCCACUGAUGCAGGCUGAGAUGGAAAAUUUGGUGUCUGUGCAAGAAAAAGGUUCCAACUCCAUAGCCCGAGGGUGUCUUGAAGUGAGGGCACAAAGACUGGAUACGGGCUAAAUCUUGCCUGCCUUCUUGGGUGCAAAAUGGAAAAGGACAAGCAGAGAAAGCAAAAUCACCUGCCUUUUGAUCUGUUCCUCCACCUCUCAUUCUUUAAAAGUUUUCUCUGUCCAGGACCGUAAACAUUGAUAUAAAUUGCUAACCUUAUUGAAUUCGAGUUUAUGUCAAGAACUGUGCAGGGAGCUUUCCAUGAAUUAGCUUCUUUGAACUUCACAGCAACUUACUGCUAUAGGUACUGUGGGUAUUCCCAUUUUACAGAUGAGGAAAAUGAGAGUUGGAGAUGUUUGGGUUAUGUGUUUACUAUAGCACAGCUGACAAGGGCAGAGCCAGUAUCUGAACCCAGGUCUUUGUGACCCCAGAGCCUGCACCGGUAACUCCAAUUCCUUAUUGCCUGUUAAGAUGAGCAGAGAAGAUUGCAAUUUCCAGUUGUUUCUUCCCACCAUAGCCUGGUACCUAAUGGCCAUCCCUACUGAGAAAAGCACAGGGCACCCCAGUCUGGCAAAGCCCCUUCCUCUCCCCUGAACUACACUGAUGUAGACAGGUCCUCCCAUCCUCCUCCCUUCACGACUCUGAUUCCAGAUGCACCAGGUUGCUAGUCUUCCCCCUGGUUAGUUACUGGGUCCUACAGUACUGUUUUCCCACACUGCUCCACCCAUGCUUCAGCUGCCACAUAGGCAUCGUGUUGUCUUUGGUGGCUGGCCUAAGACCCCAGGUCAGGGGGCCGCACCCUGAGGUCUGAGCCAGGGACACACACAACAUAUGAGGGCCCCACUUAUUGUUGAUGGGGGUCUCCUAUGGUCCUGCCAUAAGGAAUUGAGUCUGCAAAAACACCACCUUGCAAAACAUGUGCUGAGAGUGAUCACGCUCUAAAGGGACACGUUGCCACAGAACGUGGUGGAACUGAAGAGUCCCCGCCUGGGAUUCCAGUGAAGCCAUCUUUCCCUGAUCACCUGCUGUGCGCUAGGUACCAGGUUCAAUUCUUUUGCCUACCUGAUCACAUGGGAACCUCAAAAUGACUCUGUGAGGUGGGCUGUCUAAUUGAUAUUUUACAAACGAGAAAGCUGAGGCUCGGUAGCUUAAAUCACUUCUCAAAGGGUAUUUGGCUUAUAAAUAGAAUCUUUAGUCCCUAAUUCCAAUGUUCUUUCCUUACCCAUAGCCCCAUCACAGAGGCAGAAAAUGCAGGUUCUCAUUUUAACAGCAGCCCUUAUAGCUCUGGCAAUAGUCAUGUGACGCAAUAGCAGCCAAUGAAACUAGAGGGGAACUCUGCUGAGGGAAUUCUGGGCAAGGUAAAAUCUGUGUAACAAAAGAAAGAGAUAAGAGGAAAAGCUGCAUCUGUUCCUUCCUACCUUUGAACAAACUUGUGUCAAGACAUGAUGUAUGGUGCCUUGGCAGCCAUGUUGCAGUAAUGAGGGGGAGUGCCAGGAGCUCCUCAGAGAAGCCCUGACGUGGUUGAUCCUGCUUGGAAUCACCUCCCUUUAGACGACUUAUUAUGUGAGAAAAAUAAGCACAAGUGGGAGUGUCCUAAUACAUCUCUGCUCCCUUCCACUUCCUCCCAUUACCCUCUCCUUGGGAAGCAUCAGAGACCUCUCUCCGCUUGCUCAGUGAUAACCCAAAUUCCGUACACAGGAGACAAGGCUUUGCACUUCUCAGAUGACCUUAGGUCUGGUUUGUCUGGGACCUUUCUGGGACAGUUCUAGUUUAUGCCUAUGGUUCUGGAGUAAUUUUAAAAGAUGCUAAAAAUAUGAUCCUGGAUGGAUGUUAAAUUCUAUGGCAAAGUGAUUCCUUUUACAGAGACGAAACGCUUAAGUGUGAAUACCACUGUAAGAGAGGGAAUAUAGAGUCUCCAAUUCAUGGUGAAGGGGCAAAUGGCUCGCAUUUUGGGAGAGGGUGUAGGAGGGUGCAGACAGGGUGAAAGGGGUUCCCUGGGGUGUGGAAAGGCCCGGGAAUGAGAAACUGGGUGUUCCAAGAGCAAGUGUUACCCACUCCCUAGAUUUUCCAGUGUUCUACUCUGCUCCUAAGAAAUACAAAGCCUCUGUUGCUGUGCUUUCUUUCUUUCCCUGCUUCCUCUCCUUUUAAAUAGUCCCAAAUCUACCUUACACCAGCAACCCUGGGCUUCUUGGAACCUACCGCUUGGCAUAAAGUCGCAAACUCUUGCCUGGAUAACUCGGCUGUUUUGAUGACAUCUUUCCUAGGUCUCUAUAAGAUUGACAAAGAUAUUAUGUACAGUGAUAAAGCCACUCUCAGCCAUGCUAUUUCAAGUCGGGUUGUUUCCCAGACCUUUUUGGACCCCUCAAAACCUGAAGUUAUUUGGAACACACCCCACCCCACCCCCUCCUUAUCAUGGGCACUCCCUGACCCUGAAUAAUGACAAUCAGGCCUGCCUCUGCUCCUCCGCCCAUCAAUUGAUGUUUUACCUGCCUCCUGUGCUAAUAAAAACAAGUCACAAAUAGGGCUGCUUACCCAUCCUGGCAACAAGUAUUUCAAUGCAUAACUUAGUCUUGAUUUAAAUUAUAGAGGCUCAUUAUAUGUGAGAAAACCGGGCUGCCCCAUAAGCCUAUUAGAAUGAUGAGCUGUGUGCCGGCAGCCCCACUAGCUGUCCCUGGGGACUUGAAUCUAGCACUAGAAUGAGCCCUUGUGCUCCGGGCAGCAGCACAAAGAUGUGAGACAGGCAGCCAGAGAGGGCUGCGGUUCCCAGCCUUCCUGCUGGGACAGGGGACAGGCGGGGGUGUGACCAAGGAAGGAUCCCGUUCUUCCUGAU